AUGCUGGUGACAGCUGAGCUUGGAGAGUCCCAGAGCAGAACAGUAGUUCUCCAGCAGCCCGAGUCUGAGUCAGUGCAGCCAGGAGACUCUGUGCCUGACUCUGUGCAGUGUACAGUGCACACUGAGACCUGUGCAGGAGAACACAGUGUGUACUGGUUCAGACAGGCCUCAGGAGAGUCCCCUCCAGGAAUCAUUCACACCCACGGACACAGGAGUGAUGAGUGCCAGAGGAGCUCUGGGACUGUGUCUCCCACACAGAGCUGUGUCUACAACUUCCCCAAGAGGAACCUCAGCCUCUCUGAUGCUGGGACUUAUUACUGUGCUGUGGCCACCUGUGGGGAGAUCCUGUUUGGGAACGGGACUAAGCUGCAUGUUGAGGUGUCAAGAUGA
Molecule: non-coding RNA, 390 nt
Organism: Conger conger (European conger)
Lineage: Eukaryota; Metazoa; Chordata; Actinopteri; Anguilliformes; Congridae
Source: the annotation of a RefSeq genome assembly